UCGAGGAUCUUCGGCAAUGGGCGCAAGCCUGACCGAGCGACGCCGCGUGCGCGAUGAAGGCCUUCGGGUUGUAAAGCGCUGUCGAGGGGGAGGAAAGCCCGCAAGGGUCUGACCUAUCCCUGGAGGAAGCACGGGCUAAGUUCGUGCCAGCAGCCGCGGUAAGACGAACCGUGCAAACGUUGUUCGGAAUCACUGGGCUUAAAGGGCGCGUAGGCGGCUUGCCAAGUCAGGGGUGAAAUCUUUCGGCUUAACCGGAAAAGUGCCUCUGAUACUGGCAGGCUUGAGGGAGGUAGGGGCAUGUGGAACUUCCAGUGGAGCGGUGAAAUGCGUUGAUAUUGGAAGGAACGCCGGUGGCGAAAGCGACGUGCUGGACCUCUUCUGACGCUGAGGCGCGAAAGCCAGGGUAGCGAACGG
RNAcentral lists this ribosomal RNA (414 nucleotides) under uncultured bacterium. Its description in RNAcentral is "bacterial SSU rRNA". It matches the Rfam family "Bacterial small subunit ribosomal RNA", at positions 355 to 775 of the family's 1533-position model. The record is from RNAcentral.